CUUGGUUCUCAGCCAACUCCUAUGCUUGGCAGGCUUGGAAGAUAUUCUGAGAGUUCACUGGGUAGAUCGGCGUUGCAGCAGCGAUUCAAGGCUCCCUUCCAGCCCGGAGCCCCACUAGAGGUACUCAUCCCAAAACCUCGGACCCAGUGGUUCUUACAGUCUGAGUCCCUCCCCGAAAGGGACUAAGCAGGACACACUUGUGGCUUGUCGGUGGUUUCGAUAGGUGGCCCUCCGUUUAAGUGGGUGAGAUGGCAGGUUACGACC
Pelobates cultripes (western spadefoot toad) is the source of this 264-nucleotide non-coding RNA. The record is from the annotation of a GenBank genome assembly. Lineage: Eukaryota; Metazoa; Chordata; Amphibia; Anura; Pelobatidae.